Molecule: unclassified non-coding RNA, 411 nt
Filed under: Santalum insulare var. marchionense
Lineage: Eukaryota; Viridiplantae; Streptophyta; Magnoliopsida; Santalales; Santalaceae
Description: partial external transcribed spacer
Source: RNAcentral
UCAACCAGGUAGCAUCAUUAACAACGUCGGCCUCGUACGUAGCAUAAAAUGCUAGUAUGGCACGACAGUCACAAACGCUUCAAGCAUUAAAUGCUUCUUUAAGGGGCAAGUAUCCGAUAUCCCACCGAGUUACCCUCGCGGCAUUCAAAAUCCGAGAACACGAGCCAAUACCCCGCAAACCAAGCCACUGGCCAUAAGAGGAGCCACACUAGUGUGGUUAGACUGCAGGGACAGCUUUAUCGUCCAUCUUUAAAAAGCCCAAAAGUUUCAUAUGAUGGAGGGACAAAGUACGAUUGCUAGUUCCACCAUGCUAGGUAGGAAACACAAGGACCACGUAGCCCAACGCAUAAAUGUGCUUGAAGCCAUAGUGACAACACGCGUCAAUGAUUCCCCCUACAUAGACGGGGAAGC